This is a long non-coding RNA of Diabrotica virgifera virgifera (western corn rootworm), 4065 nucleotides long. RefSeq lists it as uncharacterized. The record is from RefSeq and is a predicted model, not a curated record. The transcript is spliced from 2 exons. Lineage: Eukaryota; Metazoa; Arthropoda; Insecta; Coleoptera; Chrysomelidae.
GGUUUAUCCCCACGGUUAUUAGACUUUAUUACGGUUGUCUUGUCCGACGGUGGUGGGGAGACUUAUAUUUUUGACUUUACGUCACAAGAGUUUACAUUCCCAUAUUUUUAAAUGAUUUUCGAUCAUUGAAUGUGUGUUAUUGUGUAUAUAUGUGUAUUAUUUGUGUUAUUAUGAAAUAAUUAGACAAAUAGUACACUUUUUGUCUUAUACCGGGUGGUGAAUCGUAAAAAGGGCCAUAGAAAACUCAAUGUAAAAUUCUGAAUUGUUGAAUUCCUGCUUUCCUAAUUAUUUUACAUCAAAAGUCAUGAGAGAAUACUUGUAGAGAAUUAAAAUCUGUAUUAAAAUCAAAAGUUAAAAUUGUUCUACGAUUUAAAUGCAUUCCAAAAUUUUGAAAAAUAUGAUACAUUUGCCACAAUAGGUAUGCGUGUAAAAGUAAGGCCACACGUUACUAUUUAACUGACAGUGCUCACACCAUUGACUGAAUAAAAAAAUCUUUAUUAUUAAUCCUUUCUCCGCAACUGAGAGUAUCUUAUCAACUGUAUUGUUUUUAAACAAUAGAUGAUAAAAUAAAAAUAUUGACAGUUCAAAAAUGUGAACAUUAUUGCAUUGUGUGUGGCCUAAGUUUGGGCUGAAAACUAAAAUGUAUUACAUUUUUACAAAAUUUUGGAAUAUGUUUAAUUACGUAGACCAAUAUUAACAGUUAUUUCCAAUACAGAUUUCAAUCCUCUACAAAUAGUUUCUAAUGUCUUUUGAUGUACAAUAAUUAUUAGGGAAGCUGGAAUUCAACAGUUCAGAAUUUUACAUUGAGUUAAUGCAAAAUUUUGACGCAUGUCAAAAUUCUCAAUGUGUUUUAAUUGUAUUCAUUUUUUUCGAAUCCUGAGAAAACUAAUAAAUAUUUUUGAAAAAUUUAAACUCAGAAUGAAAGACUACAUUAUUACCGAGGGCUGAAAGUCCCUGAAAACUUCUAGAAUGUUUAUAUUAAUAAGUUACAGGGCUGAAAAUAAAAGAGAAGUGUGAUCUUUAAUUUCAAAUAUUUCAUUCAAUAGAAUCUGCUUGUUUAUUCUAAGGGGCUUUCCGCCCUCGGUAAUAAUGUAAUCUUGCAUCCUGCGUUUAAAUUUUUCUAAAAUACUUGGUUUUCUCAGGAUUCGAAAAAAAUCAUAUUACGAUUCAAAUGACAGUAAACUCUCGUGACGUAAUCUCACCCUUAAUGUUCAUUGGUUAGUCGAUUUAGGCAACCGUAGUAAUGUCUAAGAACCGUGGUUUAUCCCAAUACCAAUUACGGGAUCAAAUAGCAAAAUAAUUCAAUAAAAUAUUAACUUGCGUUAACUUUACGUUAAUGAAAUACAGUCAAACCUGUCACUAACGGCCACUAAAAUGAAAGAACUAUUGGCCGAUAUAGAAAAGUGGUCGUUAUUGCCAGUUUUUGUAGCCUAGAUAUACAGUACAACCUGUGUUACUGGCCACCUGUACUAACGGCCAGUUUAAAAAUUCCCCAAACCAAUUAUAUCUAGACUACAAAAACUGGCAAUACUGGUCACCUUUCUAUAUCGUCCAAUAGCUUUUUCAUUUUUAGCGGCCGUUACUGACAGGUUUUACUGUAAUUAGUGUGGGGAAUUUUUAAACUGGCCGUUAGUACAGGUGGCCGGUGUUGGCAGGGGGCCGGUAACACAAGUUUUACUGUAGUUUAAAUCGAAAAGAUUAAAUCUUAAUUCAAAAUUGUAUAUUAAAUUAUUACAAUUAUAAACUAUAUAGUUUAAUAUCCAAAACAUGUUUUGAUUUCAUGUAAUGUAAUGAAAAUCUUAUUUGUAAAUUAUUGGUUACAAUGUUUAACAACAGGAAAUAUUCAAGAAUAAAUAAAAUAAAAGUUUCCCCUAACAACAAAACAUUCCAGGAAUUCUACUAUCAAAGUUCUAUUCCGUGAACAUCUGAUUAAAUUAUGGCUGGAAAGUUACCACAAGAUAUUCUAUGAAAAGAGUACAAUGUCCUCCUGGAGGGGUAAAAUUUUCCAUACUCUAAAGAGAGGCCAUUUACUAUUCAAUUUGCGUUCAUUUUCAAAUUUGCCGCGCGAGUAUCUAUGUAGCGUCGCGUGGUCAUUGGUCAUCAAGUCAUUUUAUUUCAUUUUCAUCAUAAGAUAACCUAAAAAUUUAGUAAAAAUUUUGAUUGGAAAAAAAUGCAUCGAUAAGGGGGUGAAAAAUGGAAAUUAGUGGCUUUUUUUUGCUGUACUCAACUGUACUGUUUAGUAUUUAUGCUAGUUUUGGCUAUGGCUGGAUCUCUUAAACAAUUAUAAUCAGCUGAAAGUGGUCUACAAAAAACCAGAUAUAACCAAAAUAAAGAUAUAAAAAGUGUAUUGGCUAAUUGGAAGAAACUCAACAUUGUCCAUGCAUAAUAAGUUAUUACUUUAUAAACAAAUAUUAAGACCUAGGAAUGGAACCUGGAUAUAAUCAUCAAGAAGAUAGCAGGAAUCCCGACAAACAACAGGAAAUCCAGCUCCUCGAUACUACUGGGCAAACUAGAAGAUUGAAGAGGACAAAGCCUUUUGAACUAGUUUGAGUGAUAGGUGAUAGUGAAAAGCAGAGCAUAGUGCGUGAUGUGGCUGUGUAUGUUAGAAUAGUGCACGAUCUUGUUAGAUUAGAUAAGAGACAGUAUCGGGUAAGCUCUUCAUUUUAAGAAACAGUUGUAAUUUAGGUUAAAUUAAAAUUGCUCAUUGGUCAGUUAUGACCAGAUUGCUUUUUUUUAUGUUUGACAAAAAGGGCGUAAGUCAGAAUUGCACAUUGCUAAUGUUUUGAUGAUUUCUGGACCAGCAAAAAACUGUUGUAGACGUAAACUGUAUGUACCAAUAAAAAGAGCCGAUUUUUCUGGUCCAGAAAUCAUCAAAACAUUAUCGAUGUGCAUUUCUGACUUAAGCCCUUUUUCCCAAACAUCAGAGAAUUGCAAUGUACAAAUUCUCCUAUCUGAUUUUUCAUGAAUUUUGUAGGAGACGAAAAACCAUUUUUAGGAUCAUCUCCUGCUUUCACAUGUAAAUUUUGACAUGUCUUGUAGUAAAUAAAUAGUUGAAUUUACUACAAAACAUGUCAAAAAAUAUAUGAAAACAGGAGGUGACCAUAAAAAAAGUUUUUAGUCUCUCUUAAAAAAACUCAUGAAAAAACAAAUCGGAGGUAUGUCACAUCAGUGACUAUAUCCAGGGAAUGUCUAAAAAAUAUACUUUGAUGUCCCAAGAACCAAAUAUAACCUUUAUAUAUAUAUACAGGGUGUAACAAAAAUACAGGUCAUAAAUUUAAUCACAUAUCCUGGGACCAAAAAUAGUUUGAUUGGACCUAACUUACCUUAGUACAAAUGUGCACAAAAGAAAAGUUACAGCCCUUUGAAGUUAUAUAUUAAUAGCACCAAGGGCCUUAGAGGCCCAUGGCUUGAAAAGUUUGUUUUUUUCUUCAUUUUCACGUUUCUUUAUGUACUGAGAUCUUCUCUGGCUUGAUAUGUGAUUUUUCUCCAUUCCUUCCUCUUAUUCAUUUUUCUUUUCUGACCCUGUAACACCAUUCUUUCCAAAUCUUUUUCGACCUCUUGCUUCCAUCUAUUUUCCGGUCUUCCUCUUCUCUUUCUUGAAGCUAUAGUGUAGUUUAGUACCCUUUUCGGAGUCCUCGUUUUUGGCAUCCUUUCAAUGUGACCUCGUGAUCUAAGUCUCUGUGCCUUUAUCACUCAUUUGAAGUUACAAAAUGAAAAGUGAUUUUUUCCAAUGUAUCGAAAACAAUGUGCUUUUGUGCACGUUUCAAUUUAAUUAUUAUUGUAGUACCUACCAUUUAAACAACAUUUUAAAAACUUUUUUGCCUCUUAUUGCUUUUUCAAAAAGUCAAUUUUUAUCGAAAUAUUUUGAAUAUUUGUCAAAUCCACCACAUAUUUGUAUAUGGUUAAGUACGAUUAUGGAGACUUGGUAAUAAUAUGCAAACUUAUUUAUGCUUUACAUUUUUAGGUAUAUUUUGAACCAUAUUAAAAAAGAAGCCAGACUCGAUAAAACGUGCCUUAUCGAAAAAAUACAAAGAGGCAAAAAAGUUUUGAAAACACUCUGUUUAA